This 381-nucleotide unclassified non-coding RNA is filed under the name uncultured bacterium. RNAcentral describes it as "contains 16S-23S intergenic spacer region". The record is from RNAcentral.
GCGUGAAGAGGGACGCCAUCCCGGGCCGCUACCAGACGAUGUGGUUCGAGGCCACGAAGCCGGGGCGCUACCAUCUGUUCUGCGCCGAGUACUGCGGCACCAAGCACUCGGAGAUGAUCGGAUGGAUCGUGGCCAUGGAGCCGUCGGCCUUCCAGGCCUGGCUCACGGGCGGAACGGGAGAGCUCUCGAUGGCGGCGGCGGGCGAGCGGAGGUUCCAGGAGCUCGGCUGCGUCACGUGUCACCGCGCCGACACCGAAGGGCGCGGCCCCAACCUGCAGGGGCUCUUCGGCCGGCCGGUCCAGCUCGCCGCCGGGGGGACGGUCCCCGCCGACGAAGGCUACAUCCGCGAGUCGAUCGUGAACCCGGCGGCCAAGGUCGUGG